Syngnathus acus (greater pipefish) is the source of this 331-nucleotide long non-coding RNA. RefSeq lists it as uncharacterized. Lineage: Eukaryota; Metazoa; Chordata; Actinopteri; Syngnathiformes; Syngnathidae. The record is from RefSeq and is a predicted model, not a curated record. The transcript is spliced from 2 exons.
UAAUAGGUUAUUUAUUUAUUUAUUUAUUUAUUGUAGAUUUUCCGCCUCCAAAAAUGGCCAACCAACCAUCGUUGCCAAAUAUAGGUCUAUAACUAAUUUUGGCAUUGGAAAAGAGAUGAGUGACAAUGACUGUGCACGCCUCAAUCGUCUUUAUGAGUGCUAAACUUCAAGACAAACAGAGGAUGUCCAGGUCUUGUUGAUGCCUCCAGUGGUGAUCAAAUUAAGUGCUCAAGCAUAUCAUUUAAAUGUAUGAACUGGUGGUUGUUGAUAAGAUACAGUAAUUCACAUAUGUAUAUCCAAUGCAAAAAUAAAUACAUUUUAAAGACGUAAA